GGGGUUGUGGCUCAGUGGCAGAGCUCUCGCCUAGUAUGUGUGAGGUACUGAGUUCGAUCCUCAGUACCACA
RNAcentral lists this transfer RNA (71 nucleotides) under Marmota monax (woodchuck). RNAcentral's name for it is "tRNA.Thr". It matches the Rfam family "tRNA". From Rfam's summary of the family: Transfer RNA (tRNA) molecules are approximately 80 nucleotides in length. Lineage: Eukaryota; Metazoa; Chordata; Mammalia; Rodentia; Sciuridae. The record is from RNAcentral.